GUAGGUGAACCUGCGGAAGGAUCAUUACCAUAUCCAAAACUUUACCAACCCACCGUGUGAACUGUAGUGUUGGGCGUAGCAGCUCGACCUAUUUAAUUUUACCAACCGCGAUGCUACUCGUGGUCGUUAAACCACCACGAGCAGCCAUUUGCCGGUUGGUAAAUGUAACAACCCCUUUGUGAAACCACACUUGAAUGAAACCUGACUUGUGAGGCCUUUCGUGUAACACUGAAGGCAACACAACAAGAAA
RNAcentral lists this unclassified non-coding RNA (250 nucleotides) under plant metagenome. RNAcentral describes it as "partial contains small subunit ribosomal RNA, internal transcribed spacer 1, and 5.8S ribosomal RNA". The record is from RNAcentral.